This 253-nucleotide ribosomal RNA is filed under the name uncultured bacterium. Its description in RNAcentral is "partial 16S ribosomal RNA". It matches the Rfam family "Bacterial small subunit ribosomal RNA", at positions 524 to 776 of the family's 1533-position model. The record is from RNAcentral.
UACGAAGGGUGCAAGCGUUGUUCGGAAUUACUGGGCGUAAAGGGCAUGUAGGCUGAUAAAUUAGUAAGUGGUGAAAUCCCAGGGCUUAACUUUGGAAUUGCCAUUUAAACGGUUUAUCUAGAGAGAUAGAAGGGAUAAUGGAAUACCCAGUGUAGAGGUGGAAUUCGUAGAUAUUGGGUAGAACACCGGUGGCGAAAGCGGUUAUCUGGCUAUCAACUGACGCUGAGAUGCGAAAGCGUGGGGAUCAAACAGG